AAUCCAUAGGUUAAUGAGGCGAACCGGGGGAACUGAAACAUCUAAGUACCCCGAGGAAAAGAAAUCAACCGAGAUUCCCCCAGUAGCGGCGAGCGAACGGGGAGGAGCCCAGAGCCUGAAUCAGCAUGUGUGUUAGUGGAAGCGUCUGGAAAGGCGCGCGAUACAGGGUGACAGCCCCGUACACAAAAGCGCAUGUGCUGUGAGCUCGAUGAGUAGGGCGGGACACGUGGUAUCCUGUCUGAAUAUGGGGGGACCAUCCUCCAAGGCUAAAUACUCCUGACUGACCGAUAGUGAACCAGUACCGUGAGGGAAAGGCGAAAAGAACCCCGGCGAGGGGAGUGAAAAAGAACCUGAAACCGUGUACGUACAAGCAGUGGGAGCACAGGUUUACCUGUGUGACUGCGUACCUUUUGUAUAAUGGGUCAGCGACUUAUAUUCUGUAGCAAGGUUAACCGAAUAGGGGAGCCGGAGGGAAACCGAGUCUUAAUUGGGCGUUAAGUUGCAGGGUAUAGACCCGAAACCCGGUGAUCUAGCCAUGGGCAGGUUGAAGGUUGGGUAACACUAACUGGAGGACCGAACCGACUAAUGUUGAAAAAUUAGCGGAUGACCUGUGGCUGGGGGUGAAAGGCCAAUCAAACCGGGAGAUAGCUGGUUCUCCCCGAAAGCUAUUUAGGUAGCGCCUCGUGAAUUCAUCUCCGGGGGUAGAGCACUGUUUCGGCUAGGGGGCCAUCCCGGCUUACCAACCCGAUGCAAACUGCGAAUACCGGAGAAUGUUAUCACGGGAGACACACGGCGGGUGCUAACGUCCGUCGUGAAGAGGGAAACAACCCAGACCGCCAGCUAAGGUCCCAAAGUCAUGGUUAAGUGGGAAACGAUGUGGGAAGGCCCAGACAGCCAGGAUGUUGGCUUAGAAGCAGCCAUCAUUUAAAGAAAGCGUAAUAGCUCACUGGUCGAGUCGGCCUGCGCGGAAGAUGUAACGGGGCUAAACCAUGCACCGAAGCUGCGGCAGCGACACUGUGUGUUGUUGGGUAGGGGAGCGUUCUGUAAGCCUGUGAAGGUGUGUCGUGAGGCAUGCUGGAGGUAUCAGAAGUGCGAAUGCUGACAUAAGUAACGAUAAAGCGGGUGAAAAGCCCGCUCGCCGGAAGACCAAGGGUUCCUGUCCAACGUUAAUCGGGGCAGGGUGAGUCGACCCCUAAGGCGAGGCC
RNAcentral lists this ribosomal RNA (1205 nucleotides) under Salmonella enterica subsp. enterica serovar Enteritidis. RNAcentral's name for it is "partial 23S ribosomal RNA". It matches the Rfam family "Bacterial large subunit ribosomal RNA", at positions 161 to 1403 of the family's 2925-position model. Lineage: Bacteria; Pseudomonadati; Pseudomonadota; Gammaproteobacteria; Enterobacterales; Enterobacteriaceae. The record is from RNAcentral.